Molecule: ribosomal RNA, 504 nt
Filed under: uncultured bacterium
Lineage: Bacteria
Description: partial 16S ribosomal RNA
Rfam family: Bacterial small subunit ribosomal RNA
Source: RNAcentral
AACGCUGGCGGCGCGCUUAACACAUGCAAGUCGAGCGAGAACCGGGACUUCGGUCCCGGGGAAAGCGGCGAACGGGUGAGUAACACGUGGGUAGUCUGCCCUCGAUUCUGGGAUAGCCCGGGGAAACCCGGAUUAAUACCGGAUAGCCUUUCGAGCCUUCGGGCGCGGAAGAAAAGGUAGCUUCGGCCUCCGAUCGAGGAUGAGCCCGCGGUGGAUUAGCUUGUUGGUGGGGUAAUGGCUCACCAAGGCGACGAUCCAUAGCUGGUCUGAGAGGACGAUCGGCCACACUGGGACUGAGACACGGACCAGACUCCUACGGGAGGCAGCAGUGGGGAGUCUGGCGCAAUGGGCGAAAGCCUGACGCAGCGACGCCGCGUGAGGGAAGAAGGCCUUAGGGUUGUAAACCUCUUUCAGGCGGGACGAAGCCACUCGGGUGAAUAGCCCAGAGGGUGACGGUACCGCCAGAAGAAGCCCCGGCUAACUACGUGCCAGCCGCCGCCGUAA